Long non-coding RNA from Myxocyprinus asiaticus (Chinese sucker), 1491 nucleotides. RefSeq lists it as uncharacterized. The transcript has 3 exons. Lineage: Eukaryota; Metazoa; Chordata; Actinopteri; Cypriniformes; Catostomidae. The record is from RefSeq and is a predicted model, not a curated record.
CAAAAGGUACGACUUUUAGACUAACCAAUCAACAAACAAACUGUUUCUCUUUCUUCUGUAGUACACAAAUGUUAUUUUUCUAGGUUAGGUUUAGGGAUUGGGUAAUGGACUUUAUAGUUAGGUUUAGGGAUUGGAUAAUGGACUUUAUAGUUAGGUUUAGGGAUUGGGUAAUGGACUUUAUAGUUAGGUUUAGGGAUUGGGUAAUGGACUUUAUAGUUAGGUUUAGGGAUUGGGUAAUGGACUUUAUAGUUAGGUUUAGGGAUUGGGUAAUGGACUUUAUAGUUAGGUUUAGGGAUUGGGUAAUGGACUUUAUAGUUAGGUUUAGGGAUUGGGUAAUGGACUUUAUAGUUAGGUUUAGGGAUUGGGUAAUGGACUUUAUAGUUAGGUUUAGGGAUUGGGUAAUGGACUUUAUAGUUAGGUUUAGGGAUUGGGUAAUGGACUUUAUAGUUAGGUUUAGGGAUUGUGUAAUGGACUUUAUAGUUAGGUUUAGGGAUUGGGUAAUGGACUUUAUAGUUAGGUUUAGGGAUUGGGUAAUGGACUUUAUAGUUAGGUUUAGGGAUUGGGUAAUGGACUUUAUAGUUAGGUUUAGGGUUUUGGUAAUGGACUUUAUAGUUAGGUUUAGGGAUUGGGUAAUGGACUUUAUAGUUAGGUUUAGGGAUUGUGUAAUGGACUUUAUAGUUAGGUUUAGGGUUUUGGUAAUGGACUUUAUAGUUAGGUUUAGGGAUUGUGUAAUGGACUUUAUAGUUAGGUUUAGGGAUUGGGUAAUGGACUUUAUAGUUAGGUUUAGGGAUUGGGUAAUGGACUUUAUAGUUAGGUUUAGGGAUUGGGUAAUGGACUUUAUAGUUAGGUUUAGGUGUAGGGUUGGGUUUAGGGUUAAACAAAGGAAAAAUAGUAAAAACAUUAUUCGUUAGUUCGUUUAGUUUCCUCUCUGCAUGUAAAAGUCACAAGUUUUUCGAGCUAACUCGUCAGAUUUCUUAUUAUUCCGCCGUCUCUAAGGGUACAAUGGUUUUUUUUUUUUUUUUGUCACAAAGUGUAUCAAGAUUGAAAACAAUAUUUUUGUUUUUAUUAAACACUGAUGGAGCAACAUAAUUUGUGUGAAAAGAGACAAUAACAGAAGGUUAUUUUGAUUAAAAAUCUUUUUUUUUUUUUUUUUUUACUUAUACUCCACAUUUGGGGUAAAAUGCUCCCAGGGGGAAUAUAGUGACUUUGUGUAGAUAGAGGGGCAAUAGUUAUGGUGCAAAAUUUGUCAACUAAUGCAAAUACUUUUUGAAACAGCAAGAUGCGUUUCUGAGUAAUAAAUAAAGAUAAUGCUUAAUCAAAAUAACCACUCAGAAAAGGGUGGACCAUUUCCUGUUCAUUUCAAUCACAUUUGGCAUUUCAUAUCAUCCCAAGUAUUCUAUAAACAAAUGAAUCUCCAUUGUGAUUGGUUUAUGAUUGGUUACGGUUAUGCAUUUUUUUUUUUUUGGGGUGUUUUUUUUUGGGGGGGGGGGG